AUAAUGAAAUUACCUUCAAAAUGGCAACAAGUUAUCGAACAAAACGGCGCAUAUUUGACCUAAAUCGGAUCAUUCUAACUAUGCUUACAACACCUAUUGUAGACCAGGCCUUAUUGUACCAAUUCAGCAAUGUAGACAAAGGCUGGUGAGUGGCGUAAGAGCAUCUAUUGUAUGCACAGAGCCAUCUAUUGAAGAAGAAGAUAAAGGCUAUGUUCAGAAAACACAACGGUUACACAACGGUUGAGUAAUUCGUCAACGUUAGUAGUCUGUAAGGAUCUAACAGUAAGGACCAAUAGUUACUAAGCGCUCAGUGAGCGCUUUGUUUUCUGAACGCAACCAAAAAGAACAGGAGAAUAGCAUAUGGGUACACCUUUCUACCUAAAGCCAUAUACCGAACAAACGACAAAAAGAACGAAAAGAACAGCCAUGUGAAAAUUAGGAUAUAUAUAUAUUUCAUACACCAUCUCCUGUCUUUCUCCUUCCCUCCUUUCUCUUUCGCUCCUUCUCACUCUCACUCCUAACAUAGACCCAAGUUCAAGACCUUUAAUGUCUGUGAUUAUUAGACUAAAACUGAAAAUACAAAAAUAAGCUAAGAUUGUUAUAUCAAAUUGUGAAAAAUAUAAACAAAUAAAAUGAAAUGGAACAGCAUUUGAUACUCUGUAAACAUA
Harpegnathos saltator (Jerdon's jumping ant) is the source of this 668-nucleotide long non-coding RNA. RefSeq lists it as uncharacterized. The transcript is spliced from 2 exons. The record is from RefSeq and is a predicted model, not a curated record. Lineage: Eukaryota; Metazoa; Arthropoda; Insecta; Hymenoptera; Formicidae.